GAGGAUGCGAGCGUUAUCCGGAUUUAUUGGGUUUAAAGGGUGCGUAGGCGGACUUUUAAGUCAGCGGUAAAAUUGAGAGGCUCAACCUCUUCCCGCCGUUGAAACUGGGAGUCUUGAGUGGGCGAGAAGUAUGCGGAAUGCGUGGUGUAGCGGUGAAAUGCAUAGAUAUCACGCAGAACUCCGAUUGCGAAGGCAGCAUACCGGCGCCCAACUGACGCUGAAGCACGAAAGCUUGGGUAUCGAA
This 244-nucleotide ribosomal RNA is filed under the name uncultured bacterium. RNAcentral's name for it is "partial 16S ribosomal RNA". It matches the Rfam family "Bacterial small subunit ribosomal RNA", at positions 528 to 772 of the family's 1533-position model. The record is from RNAcentral.